Molecule: small nuclear RNA, 29 nt
Filed under: Cervus elaphus hippelaphus
Lineage: Eukaryota; Metazoa; Chordata; Mammalia; Artiodactyla; Cervidae
Source: RNAcentral
GUGCUCGAUUCGGCAGCACAUAUACUAAA